GUGUUGUUGGGUAGGGGAGCGUUCUGUAAGCCUGUGAAGGUGUACUGUGAGGUAUGCUGGAGGUAUCAGAAGUGCGAAUGCUGACAUAAGUAACGAUAAAGCGGGUGAAAAGCCCGCUCGCCGGAAGACCAAGGGUUCCUGUCCAACGUUAAUCGGGGCAGGGUGAGUCGACCCCUAAGGCGAGGCCGAAAGGCGUAGUCGAUGGGAAACAGGUUAAUAUUCCUGUACUUGGUGUUACUGCGAAGGGGGGACGGAGAAGGCUAUGUUGGCCGGGCGACGGUUGUCCCGGUUUAAGCGUGUAGGCUGGUUUUCCAGGCAAAUCCGGAAAAUCAAGGCUGAGGCGUGAUGACGAGGCACUACGGUGCUGAAGCAACAAAUGCCCUGCUUCCAGGAAAAGCCUCUAAGCAUCAGGUAACAUCAAAUCGUACCCCAAACCGACACAGGUGGUCAGGUAGAGAAUACCAAGGCGCUUGAGAGAACUCGGGUGAAGGAACUAGGCAAAAUGGUGCCGUAACUUCGGGAGAAGGCACGCUGAUAUGUAGGUGAAGCGACUUGCUCGUGGAGCUGAAAUCAGUCGAAGAUACCAGCUGGCUGCAACUGUUUAUUAAAAACACAGCACUGUGCAAACACGAAAGUGGACGUAUACGGUGUGACGCCUGCCCGGUGCCGGAAGGUUAAUUGAUGGGGUUAGCGGUAACGCGAAGCUCUUGAUCGAAGCCCCGGUAAACGGCGGCCGUAACUAUAACGGUCCUAAGGUAGCGAAAUUCCUUGUCGGGUAAGUUCCGACCUGCACGAAUGGCGUAAUGAUGGCCAGGCUGUCUCCACCCGAGACUCAGUGAAAUUGAACUCGCUGUGAAGAUGCAGUGUACCCGCGGCAAGACGGAAAGACCCCGUGAACCUUUACUAUAGCUUGACACUGAACAUUGAGCCUUGAUGUGUAGGAUAGGUGGGAGGCUUUGAAGUGUGGACGCCAGUCUGCAUGGAGCCGACCUUGAAAUACCACCCUUUAAUGUUUGAUGUUCUAACGUUGGCCCCUGAUCGGGGUUGCGGACAGUGUCUGGUGGGUAGUUUGACUGGGGCGGUCUCCUCCUAAAGAGUAACGGAGGAGCACGAAGGUUGGCUAAUCCUGGUCGGACAUCAGGAGGUUAGUGCAAUGGCAUAAGCCAGCUUGACUGCGAGCGUGACGGCGCGAGCAGGUGCGAAAGCAGGUCAUAGUGAUCCGGUGGUUCUGAAUGGAAGGGCCAUCGCUCAACGGAUAAAAGGUACUCCGGGGAUAACAGGCUGAUACCGCCCAAGAGUUCAUAUCGACGGCGGUGUUUGGCACCUCGAUGUCGGCUCAUCACAUCCUGGGGCUGAAGUAGGUCCCAAGGGUAUGGCUGUUCGCCAUUUAAAGUGGUACGCGAGCUGGGUUUAGAACGUCGUGAGACAGUUCGGUCCCUAUCUGCCGUGGGCGAUGGAGAACUGAGGGGGGCUGCUCCUAGUACGAGAGGACCGGAGUGGACGCAUCACUGGUGUUCGGGUUGUCAUGCCAAUGGCACUGCCCGGUAGCUAAAUGCGGAAGAGAUAAGUGCUGAAAGCAUCUAAGCACGAAACUUGCCCCGAGAUGAGUUCUCCCUGAGACUUUAAGUCUCCUGAAGGAACGUUGAAGACGACGACGUUGAUAGGCCGGGUGUGUAAGCGCAGCGAUGCGUUGAGCUAACCGGUACUAAUGAACCGUGAGGCUUAACCUUACAACGCCGAAG
RNAcentral lists this ribosomal RNA (1742 nucleotides) under Escherichia coli. RNAcentral's name for it is "partial 23S ribosomal RNA". It matches the Rfam family "Bacterial large subunit ribosomal RNA", at positions 1218 to 2925 of the family's 2925-position model. The record is from RNAcentral. Lineage: Bacteria; Pseudomonadati; Pseudomonadota; Gammaproteobacteria; Enterobacterales; Enterobacteriaceae.